Molecule: ribosomal RNA, 500 nt
Filed under: uncultured bacterium
Lineage: Bacteria
Description: partial 16S ribosomal RNA
Rfam family: Bacterial small subunit ribosomal RNA
Source: RNAcentral
AUUGAACGCUGGCGGCAUGCCUUACACAUGCAAGUCGAACGGCAGCACGGGAGCAAUCCUGGUGGCGAGUGGCGAACGGGUGAGUAAUGUAUCGGAACGUGCCCAGUCGUGGGGGAUAACGCAGCGAAAGCUGUGCUAAUACCGCAUACGAUCUAUGGAUGAAAGCGGGGGAUCGCAAGACCUCGCGCGAUUGGAGCGGCCGAUAUCAGAUUAGCUAGUUGGUGGGGUAAAAGCUUACCAAGGCGACGAUCUGUAGCUGGUCUGAGAGGACGAACAGCGACACUGGAACUGAGACACGGUCCAGACGCCUACGGGAGGCAGCAGUGGGGAAUUUUGGACAAUGGGCGCAAGCCUGAUCCAGCAAUGCCGCGUGCAGGAUGAAGGCCUUCGGGUUGUAAACUGCUUUUGUACGGAGCGAAAAGGCUCUCUCUAAUACAGGGGGCUCAUGACGGUACCGUAAGAAUAAGCACCGGCUAACUACGUGCCAGCAGCCGCAGUAA